GCUGGGUGCAAGUGGUGCACACCUGUAAUCCCAGUUAUUUGGGAGGCUGAGGCAGGAGGAUUGCAAGUUCGAGGCCAGGCUUGGUAACUUAGUGAGACCCUGUCUCAA
RNAcentral lists this small RNA (108 nucleotides) under Marmota monax (woodchuck). The record is from RNAcentral. Lineage: Eukaryota; Metazoa; Chordata; Mammalia; Rodentia; Sciuridae.